UAACUACGUGCCAGCAGCCGCGGUGAUACGUAGGGUGCGAGCGUUGUCCGGAUUUAUUGGGCGUAAAGGGCUCGUAGGUGGUUGAUCGCGUCGGAAGUGUAAUCUUGGGGCUUAACCCUGAGCGUGCUUUCGAUACGGGUUGACUUGAGGAAGGUAGGGGAGAAUGGAAUUCCUGGUGGAGCGGUGGAAUGCGCAGAUAUCAGGAGGAACACCAGUGGCGAAGGCGGUUCUCUGGGCCUUUCCUGACGCUGAGGAGCGAAAGCGUGGGGAGCGAACAGGCUUAGAUACCCUGGUAGUCCACGCUGUAAACGGUGGGUACUAGGUGUGGGGUCCAUUCCACGGGUUCCGUGCCGUAGCUAACGCUUUAAGUACCCCGCCUGGGGAGUACGGCCGCAAGGCUAAAACUCAAAGGAAUUGACGGGGCCCCGCACAAGCGGCGGAGCAUGCGGAUUAAUUCGAUGCAACGCGUAGAACCUUACCUGGGCUUGACAUGGAUCGGGAGUGCUCAGAGAUGGGUGUGCCUCUUUUGGGGUCGGUUCACAGGUGGUGCAUGGCUGUCGUCAGCUCGUGUCGUGAGAUGUUGGGUUAAGUCCCGCAACGAGCGCAACCCUUGUUCACUGUUGCCAGCACGUUAUGGUGGGGACUCAGUGGAGACCGCCGGGGUCAACUCGGAGGAAGGUGGGGAUGACGUCAAGUCAUCAUGCCCCUUAUGUCCAGGGCUUCACGCAUGCUACAAUGGCUGGUACAGAGAGUGGCGAGCCUGUGAGGGUGAGCGAAUCUCGGAAAGCCGGUCUCAGUUCGGAUUGGGGUCUGCAACUCGACCUCAUGAAGUCGGAGUCGCUAGUAAUCGCAGAUCAGCAACGCUGCGGUGAAUACGUUCCCGGGGCUUGUACACACCGCCC
This 902-nucleotide ribosomal RNA is filed under the name uncultured Propionibacterium sp. RNAcentral describes it as "bacterial SSU rRNA". It matches the Rfam family "Bacterial small subunit ribosomal RNA", at positions 498 to 1395 of the family's 1533-position model. Lineage: Bacteria; Bacillati; Actinomycetota; Actinomycetes; Propionibacteriales; Propionibacteriaceae. The record is from RNAcentral.